AUUUGAAGUAUGGUGUUACAGGUCCAAGGUAGCUAAGCGAAGGCUGGCAACACUUGGGGAAGAGCACAAUACAGCUAAAGCAGUAUGACUUCUCUCUUCUUUUGCCAAUUCUAGGAUUUAGCUAUCCUCCUUUUCGCGUCACUGAUUAUAUGCUGAAAACUUUCUUUUAUUCUUUCGAGUUAUAACCUAGCUGAAUUGGUAAGACAUCUUAAAAUGGCCUAGCUUCUGUAAAGUGACCUCUAUUUUUGUACCCUCUCCAUGUUUUCA
Molecule: unclassified non-coding RNA, 267 nt
Filed under: Hevea brasiliensis (rubber tree)
Lineage: Eukaryota; Viridiplantae; Streptophyta; Magnoliopsida; Malpighiales; Euphorbiaceae
Source: RNAcentral